GAUGAACGCUGGCGGCGUGCUUAACACAUGCAAGUCGAACGAAGCACUCAUGACAGAUUCUUCGGAUGAUGGAUUGAUUGACUGAGUGGCGGACGGGUGAGUAACGCGUGGGUAACCUGCCUCAUACAGGGGGAUAACAGUUAGAAAUGACUGCUAAUACCGCAUAAGCGCACAGUACCGCAUGGUACGGUGUGAAAAACUCCGGUGGUAUGAGAUGGACCCGCGUCUGAUUAGCUAGUUGGUGGGUAACGGCCCACCAAGGCGACGAUCAGUAGCCGGUCUGAGAGGAUGAACGGCCACAUUGGGACUGAGAUACGGCCCAGACUCCUACGGGAGGCAGCAGUGGGGAAUAUUGGGCAAUGGGGGAAACCCUGACCCAGCAACG
Molecule: ribosomal RNA, 385 nt
Filed under: uncultured bacterium
Lineage: Bacteria
Description: bacterial SSU rRNA
Rfam family: Bacterial small subunit ribosomal RNA
Source: RNAcentral